CUGACUUCCCUCCAGCUUGAAGGAGCAAGCCAUGCAGAUCCAGCCACAAUGUGUUCUCCUGGUGGGCACACUCCAGGCCUUGUUGCCCCUGGUCAGGUGGGAUCAAUCAUGUGGCUUUUCAUGGAGGUGCAGUGAGGACUUGUAUCAAGGCCUGGAUAGGGACAUGCAUCUCCCCUCCUUGCUGAGUGUGAUCUCACUGCCAACUGGUGUCUGGGGCCAUGUUGGAAUCCAUGUUUGGGGAGGCUCAGCCUGGCUGAAGCUAACAGGAUUGGGGCCCUGGUUACUAUGGGAUAUCAGCGCCCCCUCAAACCAUGGUCCAACUGAAGGCAGGAAAUUUUGCUUAAAACUAGAGGAAAAUGAGCUCAGUCUCUUUAGGAAACUGAGUUAAUAUAUUCUGAGUGUCUUUCUGGCAUUUUAACCUUUCAAUGUUGCCUUUAGGAAUUCAGAAAGCAAAUGAUCUUUAAAAUAUGUGAGAGGGUAUAUAAAUGUGUGUGUGUGUGUGUGUGUGUGUGUGUUCAUUUGUUUAUUGAUGUUGGACCUAGUUACCAAGUCACCAACAUCAGUUUGGUGUUGCAAAAUUGAGACACUUUUAAGUUACAGCCCAAGGACACCUUCCUGAGAAGGUGGCUGAGGACCUCUGGAGUGUGCAGAAAGAGCCAAGCCAUGGAGCUAGAGGUACUGGCUUCAUCCCUCACCAACUCUGUCACUUAACUUCUUUGAGUCUUUGGGUUCUCAUCUGGAAAACGUGGGGCAGCAAUAGAAGCU
Molecule: long non-coding RNA, 765 nt
Filed under: Homo sapiens (human)
Lineage: Eukaryota; Metazoa; Chordata; Mammalia; Primates; Hominidae
Description: HSALNT0169432
Source: RNAcentral